CACGUAUUCUUACCGCAACUAGAGUGUUCAGUGAUAACGUAUUCUGUGUUUAAUUUACUCCUUCAACGAUAAUGUACCAAUGGUACAC
Long non-coding RNA from Aricia agestis (brown argus), 88 nucleotides. RefSeq lists it as uncharacterized. The record is from RefSeq and is a predicted model, not a curated record. The transcript is spliced from 3 exons. NCBI's taxonomy places the organism in Eukaryota, Metazoa, Arthropoda, Insecta, Lepidoptera, Lycaenidae.